RNAcentral lists this long non-coding RNA (581 nucleotides) under Homo sapiens (human). Its description in RNAcentral is "non-protein coding lnc-FAM110B-5:5". The record is from RNAcentral. Lineage: Eukaryota; Metazoa; Chordata; Mammalia; Primates; Hominidae.
GUUCAAAGCCAGGCUCUAAUAGAAUUCAACCUUCACAAGGUCAAGUUCCCAGUCUGUAUUUUUACGCCACUUCCCAGCACAGGCCCAGACACAAAGCAGAUGUGCAGUGGAGUGUGAAAGAGGCAGCCAACUCACUGGGGAGCUUCAGAGGGAGAUGGCCCAAAUUGCUGGGGCCUAAGAAUCUCCCGGAAUGAAGGAACAGUAGAAAGAACUGGAAGCCAAAUAUGGUGAUAGAGACUCUCAUCAAGGACACUGAGUAAACCAGAAACCUGCUUGGGCUCACGUUCCUUGUCUCUUCUUCUCAGAUCCAGGAAAGGAGCUGUCCAGGACAAUGAGGAUAGGCUGAGGAAAGACAGGCCACGGCCUUGCCUCUGUGCCAGCUCUCAUGGGCCAGGCAGAGUAUCCCAGGACAACUGCCUCCACAACCAGCUCCAUCCUUCAUCAGCAAUUCAGUACCUGAUUAACAAAUCUGUACCCCAGGAGGUUAUGCCAAGUCCAACUUCUUCCAGAGACCACAACAAUAAAUCCAAGCCACUGCUAAUGUCAUUUAUAAGCUGUGGGAUUAAAACAGAGAAGCAAUC